GUGGGGAAUAUUGGACAAUGGGCGAAAGCCUGAUCCAGCCAUGCCGCGUGUGUGAAGAAGGUCUUCGGAUUGUAAAGCACUUUAAGUUGGGAGGAAGGGCAGUAAGUUAAUACCUUGCUGUUUUGACGUUACCGACAGAAUAAGCACCGGCUAACUUCGUGCCAGCAGCCGCGGUAAUACUAAGGGUGCAAGCGUUAAUCGGAAUUACUGGGCGUAAAGCGCGCGUAGGUGGUUUUGUAAGUUGGAGGUGAAAUCCCCGGGCUCAACCUGGGAACUGCCUCCAAAACUGCAUGACUAGAGUACGGUAGAGGGUAGUGGAAUUUCCUGUGUAGCGGUGAAAUGCGUAGAUAUAGGAAGGAACACCAGUGGCGAAGGCGACUACCUGGACUGAUACUGACACUGAGGUGCGAAAGCGUGGGGAGCAAACAGGAUUAGAUACCCCGGUAGUCC
Molecule: ribosomal RNA, 450 nt
Filed under: uncultured bacterium
Lineage: Bacteria
Description: bacterial SSU rRNA
Rfam family: Bacterial small subunit ribosomal RNA
Source: RNAcentral